This 1140-nucleotide ribosomal RNA is filed under the name Vreelandella venusta. RNAcentral's name for it is "bacterial SSU rRNA". It matches the Rfam family "Bacterial small subunit ribosomal RNA", at positions 35 to 1174 of the family's 1533-position model. The record is from RNAcentral. Lineage: Bacteria; Pseudomonadati; Pseudomonadota; Gammaproteobacteria; Oceanospirillales; Halomonadaceae.
GCAGGGGCGGCAGCUAACCAUGCAGUCGAGCGGUAACAGGGGUAGCUUGCUACCCGCUGACGAGCGGCGGACGGGUGAGUAAUGCAUAGGAAUCUGCCCGAUAGUGGGGGAUAACCUGGGGAAACCCAGGCUAAUACCGCAUACGUCCUACGGGAGAAAGGGGGCUCCGGCUCCCGCUAUUGGAUGAGCCUAUGUCGGAUUAGCUAGUUGGUGAGGUAAAGGCUCACCAAGGCGACGAUCCGUAGCUGGUCUGAGAGGAUGAUCAGCCACAUCGGGACUGAGACACGGCCCGAACUCCUACGGGAGGCAGCAGUGGGGAAUAUUGGACAAUGGGCGAAAGCCUGAUCCAGCCAUGCCGCGUGUGUGAAGAAGGCCCUCGGGUUGUAAAGCACUUUCAGCGAGGAAGAACGCCUAGUGGUUAAUACCCAUUAGGAAAGACAUCACUCGCAGAAGAAGCACCGGCUAACUCCGUGCCAGCAGCCGCGGUAAUACGGAGGGUGCAAGCGUUAAUCGGAAUUACUGGGCGUAAAGCGCGCGUAGGUGGCUUGAUAAGCCGGUUGUGAAAGCCCCGGGCUCAACCUGGGAACGGCAUCCGGAACUGUCAAGCUAGAGUGCAGGAGAGGAAGGUAGAAUUCCCGGUGUAGCGGUGAAAUGCGUAGAGAUCGGGAGGAAUACCAGUGGCGAAGGCGGCCUUCUGGACUGACACUGACACUGAGGUGCGAAAGCGUGGGUAGCAAACAGGAUUAGAUACCCUGGUAGUCCACGCCGUAAACGAUGUCGACCAGCCGUUGGGUGCCUAGCGCACUUUGUGGCGAAGUUAACGCGAUAAGUCGACCGCCUGGGGAGUACGGCCGCAAGGUUAAAACUCAAAUGAAUUGACGGGGGCCCGCACAAGCGGUGGAGCAUGUGGUUUAAUUCGAUGCAACGCGAAGAACCUUACCUACUCUUGACAUCCUGCGAACUUGUGAGAGAUCACUUGGUGCCUUCGGGAACGCAGAGACAGGUGCUGCAUGGCUGUCGUCAGCUCGUGUUGUGAAAUGUUGGGUUAAGUCCCGUAACGAGCGCAACCCUUGUCCUUAUUUGCCAGCGCGUAAUGGCGGGAACUCUAAGGAGACUGCCGGUGACAAACCGGAGGAAGUG